Molecule: ribosomal RNA, 301 nt
Filed under: uncultured bacterium
Lineage: Bacteria
Description: partial 16S ribosomal RNA
Rfam family: Bacterial small subunit ribosomal RNA
Source: RNAcentral
CAGUAGCCACGGUAAUACGAAGGGGGCUAGCGUUGUUCGGAUUUACUGGGCGUAAAGGGCGCGUAGACGGGCUGAUAAGUCAGGGGUGAAAUCCCAAGGCUCAACCUUGGAACUGCCUUUGAUACUGUUGGUCUUGAGUCCGGGAGAGGUGAGUGGAACUGCGAGUGUAGAGGUGAAAUUCGUAGAUAUUCGCAAGAACACCAGUGGCGAAGGCGGCUCACUGGCCCGGAACUGACGCUGAGGCGCGAAAGCGUGGGGAGCAAACAGGAUUAGAUACCCCAGUAGUCCCUGUCUCUUAUAC